AGACUUUCGAAUGUACACUUGAUUGGACACAGUUUAGUUGCGAAUACAGCUGCUUGCGCGCCUAGGCUGUGUCCUAUUAAGUGUACAUUCGAAAGUCA
This 98-nucleotide microRNA precursor is filed under the name Tetranychus urticae (two-spotted spider mite). RNAcentral describes it as "microRNA tur-mir-5733 precursor". The record is from miRBase by way of RNAcentral. Lineage: Eukaryota; Metazoa; Arthropoda; Arachnida; Trombidiformes; Tetranychidae.